This 722-nucleotide ribosomal RNA is filed under the name Pleuroxia italowiana. RNAcentral describes it as "partial 16S ribosomal RNA". Lineage: Eukaryota; Metazoa; Mollusca; Gastropoda; Stylommatophora; Camaenidae. The record is from RNAcentral.
UUCCGAACAAAUGACUACGAGAUCUAUUUGAAGAAAGUCUGUGCAUAUAUAUAUAAUUCUUGUAGAGGGAAAUGCCUUCAAAUUUGUGAUACUUGAUGCUUUGACAUAUAUUAGUAUUAAGAAAACUAUUGAGCGCUAAGGUUCUGUAGAUAAAUAAAUGUCUUAUCUUUUAAAAUGCAUGAUUUAACAAUCAACAGAUAUUUAAUAUAUUAUAUAAAUAGUAAGUUUGUUAUAAUUAAGAAGCAAUAAUUAAUUAUAUUAAAUAUUUUAAAUGUUAUUAUUAGUAAUAAAUAGAUAUUUAUAAUGAACUCGGCAAAGUACUCUUCAACUGUUUAUCAAAAACAUAGCUACUAGAUUUUACUAGUGGUAAGUUCUGCUCAAUGAAUUUUAAAUAGCCGCAGUACACUGACUGUGCUAAGGUAGCAUAAUCGGUUGGCUUAUAAUUGAAGUCUUGUAUGAAGGAAUACAUGGGGAGAAACUGUAUCUUAAAUAUAAAAUGAAAUUGCUAAGUAAGUGAAAAUUCUUACGUAUAUAUAAUAGACGAGAAGACCCUAGAAAUUUUUAAUACAUAUAUUCAUAGUGGUUUUUUGUUGGGGCAACAGUGUAACAUAUAAUUUACAUUAUUAGUACAAGAAAUUUAUUGAUAGCUUAAAUUACUCUAGGGAUAACAGCGUAAUAUAUAUAUGAUUGCGACCUCGAUGUUGGAUUAGGAAGCGAAAACU